Molecule: ribosomal RNA, 468 nt
Filed under: uncultured bacterium
Lineage: Bacteria
Description: partial 16S ribosomal RNA
Rfam family: Bacterial small subunit ribosomal RNA
Source: RNAcentral
GACGAACGCUGGCGGCGUGCUUAACACAUGCCAGUCGAACGGAAACGCCCUGCUUUUGUGCGGUGCUCGAGUGGCGAACGGGUGCGUAACACGUGAGUAACCUGCCCUUGCCUUUGGGAUAACUUCAGGAAACUGGGGCUAAUACCGGAUAGAAGCUCCUGCUGCAUGGUGGGGGUUGGAAAGUUUCGGCGUUUGGGGAUGGACUCGCGGCUUAGCUGCUUGUUGGUGGGGUAGUGGAUUACCAAGGCCUUGACGGGUAGCCGGCCUGAGAGGGUGACCGGCAACAUUGGGACUGAGAUACGGCCGAGACUCGUGCGGGAGGCAGCAGUGGGGAAUAUUGCACGAUGGGCGGAAGUAGGGUGAAGUAACGCUGCGUGAGGGAUGACGGCCUUCGGGUUGUAAACCGUUUUGGCCUGUGACGAAGCGUGAGUGACGGUAAUGGGUAAAGAAGCACCGGCUAACUACGUG